RNAcentral lists this long non-coding RNA (3456 nucleotides) under Nicotiana benthamiana. Its description in RNAcentral is "long non-coding RNA (NBEN_LNC005620)". The stretch from base 219 to 289 matches the Rfam family "MIR6151 microRNA precursor family". Lineage: Eukaryota; Viridiplantae; Streptophyta; Magnoliopsida; Solanales; Solanaceae. The record is from RNAcentral.
ACCCCUAAAUCAACGUGUACUGUUCUUCUUCUCCGAAGAACACGCGAACCAAUCCCCAAACUCUGCUUAGAUCUGGGCGAGUGAAUGCUAAAUCCAUAAUUCACGCGUCCCUACUUCUCUUAUCUCACCAGUUCAAACGAUUUCUGACACUAAUAAUGAUCCCCCCUUCACUCGCUCAAGUCCGAGAUGAGGCACGCGAUUGGAAUGUCCUAGAGACGAUUCGUUGGAUGAGGAUGAGUCGUUGGAUUGAUCUCAUUCAAUCCAAGCCCCAUUUUCAUCAAGGGUUUCUCUAUAAAGGACAAUAUCCGGUAUUAAGAGGGAGGUUUUUUUUCGGAGGAUUUGGUGGCAGAUUUUGAGAGGAAGCCGAAACUCUAGAUAUUAGUCUUCUUUAUCUUUAUUGUUGAUUUUCAUUCGUAGUAUUAACUUCAAAACAUAUACAAAAAUGUUCGAUAUUUUGUGAUUCCACUGUUGUUUGAUUUACUCUCUAUCAGCUUCGAAAUACAUGAAUUCCGUCUUCAAAGUUAUUGGAACUCGUUGUUGAUUGAAGCAUCGAUUUGUGGCUGCUGUUGCUUUGUGUUGAUUUUAGUGUUGAGAUUCUUUCAAAUUUUCAUUCCAGGUUCACCCUUGUUCCUUCUUUUAUUUCUGUUAUGAAGUGAGCCCUAGACGGCCCUGGACAGAUUGUAAGAUGAAUUCAAUUACAAUAAUAGAUGAGGAUUGUGUGGUUAUCUUCGUCUUUAUUUACUGUUAUGCUUUCAACAUAUUCCAUGAGUUCAAAUGAUUAGUGAGUUAGUUAUAAAUGGUUGAAGAUCAAACUUGUUUGGUUUCAACAUCGUAUCUGUGUUUAUAUGGACUUUGUAGAUUGUUUUUGGUAUCAUCUUUCGGUUUAGCCCUGCUUAGAACAUGAAUCAUGUUGAUGUUGCAAACUUGGUAGAUGUACAUCCCUAUAUACUGUCAAGGUUGUUUCCUUGUUGCAUCUGUUCGAGAAUAAGCUUUGAUUAGCUCCCGCUGCUGAUGUUUGAACCCAGCGUGAGUGUUUAAGGAAUCUUUGAGAUGCUGGGAAUUGGACGUCAUCUUAUGGUCCAGAUUUAACUGUCAAUACUUCUUCUCUUGUUUUCUCUUUGCUAGUUUUGGUUUUCAGUCGGAAUAUGCUAUUAAUUUAACUAAACAUUAGCGGUUUCUCGCUAAGUGAUGAUCAUUCCUUAAUUGUUUGAAUUUGAAUCUAUCCUAGUCCAUCUUGUUGACAAAAUUCAGAUAUGCCUCUUUGAUCUGCUUGUGUCUGCCUACGAAUGUGUGGUUUGAUCCAUGACGCUGGACUUUAUUGUUGAAAUAAUUGCCUGACCUGCUGACUUACUCGUUCUAUUUGCACGCCAGUUGUAAUAAGUCAUGUUCCCCUAGAUGUUGUGCUGCUUUUGUGAUUGAUUCUGCCCAAAUGUUUCUUUGCUUGAAAUUGUUAGCAUCAUUAGCUAUUCGAUUUAUCGUCGUCUUAACUUCGUGGCACUACUGUUAAUUUUGGUUUUUGUAAAACUGUCAGUCAACUUUAUUCUCCAUCACGUUGAGUUGCUUCCUCUUUAGUCUUAAUGAGUUGUUUUAUGGCAUUACUCGCUUGUCUGCUCUGACGUAUUGGAUGAUUUACUCGUCGAAUAUCAACCCUCCUAUCAGUCUUCUGAAAUGCAGAGAUCAUGAAUGGGAUUAAAAUGGCUCAUUUGGUUCUGUUUGUGAAGUUCAAAUUCAUGUGUUAACUUCAGCAUUUGUUGAGCAACUUUAUUAGCUAACUCGUGAGGAGAUAAGGAACCCAUAGAUGUAAAAAUUUCUUAAGUUUCGAAACGUGGGCCCGAGGCUCGGGUUUUUAUUAAUUUCGAGAAUUUUGGUAUUUUUUGUUUGUUUUGGUUGGGAUUUAUUUCCAUUACUUAUUAUGAUGUAUUCGUUUUGAUUUUGGAUAGAUUCGAUGCACGUGGAGGCCAAUUCGAGGGGCAAAGGCGUCGUGAGCUAAAGAAGUAGCUAGUUCGAGGUAAGUAAUGAUUGUAAAUGAUGUCCUGAGGUUUGAAACCCCGGAUUGUUCAUCGUAGUGCUAUAUUGAUGUGAGACACACGCUGGAAGAUAAGCGCGAGGUCUUUUACUACUGGGGAUCGUGACUUGGUCCGUUCGGAUUGAUGAUUUUAGUGCAUAUUUGACUCAAACUGAUUUGUUAUCAUCAUGAUUUGGGAUGAUUGUCAUAUUUGGGCUUCAUGCCAAUUAUUUGAACCCUUCGGGGAAUUUUAUCACUAUUGCCUCUCUGUUUUGACUUAUAUUUAAACUCAGUCCUAUAGAUAUUUAUGGUUUUACAAACUCAGUCACUUUUAUACAGAUUUGAAACCUAAAUGAUAUUUUUAAAUGAUAUUUUGGGAUGAGAACAACUGUUUUACAAAUGCCCGAGGGGCUUAUGAUAAUUUUUGGACUGAGUGAGGCCGAGGGCCAUAUGUGAGUAUAUGCUGAGUGAUAUGAGGCAGAGGGCCUGAAUUACUAUUUAUGCCACGCGGUGGCUUGAGUGAUGUGAGGAGACUUUCAGGCCUUGUGAGUGAUGUAAUGAGGAUUUCAGGCCUUACGAAUGAUGUGAUUAUUAUUGUGCUUGGGUUGUAGGAGCCCCUCCGGAGUAUGCACACCCAUAAUGAUCACGAGUACCAUUAUGCUGAGUGAUUGAUACUAUGCCUGCGGGGCUGAUAUGAGUCAUUGUGAGGUAGCCCUAGGGACUGAUACUGUUUUGAGAGUGAGCCUGAGGGCUGAUACUGUAUUGAGUGAUACUGUGCCCGAGGGGCAAACCUCUACUUGUUAUUUUGACACUGUGCCCGAGGGGCAGAUUUCUACUUAUUAUUUUGAUACUGAGCCCGAGGGGCAGAUUUCUACUUGUUAAUUACUGCCAAAUUACCUAUUUUACUUGUUUUAAAAAAGAUUUCAUUUGAUGUUCCACUGAUUUACUGGUUUUAAGUGAUUUUACUGCUUCUGUAUAGAAUGCUUUGUGCAUUUAUAUAUUUUCUUGCUUUCAGCCAUUAUUUAUAUUUAUUACUCACUGGGUCGGAGUACUCACAUUACUCCCUGCACCAUGUAUGCGGAUUCAAGCAUUGCAGAUUUCAACUCAUGAGAGUUGAUCCUUCCAGUCCAGGCAGUGUUUCGGAGACUACGAGGGGAUGAAUUGGUAUUGAUAAUAUCAUAUGCUUGACAUGAAUCUAUUCUGAAACAACUCUCUUUGCAAGUUAUUGCAUUCAUAAGCUACCGAUGGAGUUUACAACUAUAUGUAAUGCAUCUCGCAUCUUUCAGACAGGUUGUUUGUAUUUUGGAACCUGGAGUCCACAUAAUAUAUUUCCUCCUUUCUUGUUCUGAUAUAUGCUUUGCAACUUUGUUGUUGGGUUGGGGAAACUCAGUACUAGCAGGACACUGACUACACUUGCCAAAAUCAGCGGCAAUUUUUCAUAUUAUUGAAGC